UUUAUUUCUUAUAGCAUUAUGAUAAUUUGUUAGCUCUUGUCUUCAGCAUGUUAAUAUUCUCAAGCUGAACAAAUUUAAACAGAAAAGAGACACAAAGCAGUAAAAGUGUGUGAAUUAAAGACUAAACCCAUUUUAAAGAGAAAGAACAGAUGAAGACUGAUUACUGAUUAUAACGUGUAUGUGUGUGUGUGUGAUGUGUGUGUGUGUGUGUGUGUGAGAGUGUGUGUGUGUGUGUGUGUGAGGUGUGUGUGUGUGUGUUAAAAUGUCUGAUCAUACAGAAGCUAAUAAAAUACACAAUCUUACAGAACAGCCUGAGUGAAUAAAUUCAUUUAGCUAAUGUUUCUGUAUUUUACAUCUUUAAAACUUCAAAUUCAAAACAUUCUAGAAAUCCAGAUUGUGAAAAUCUCAAUUAAAUUAAAGAUUAAAAGGAAAUCAGCUGAGAAACCUACAGAGUAAAAAAAUAAAA
This is a long non-coding RNA of Hemibagrus wyckioides, 466 nucleotides long. RefSeq lists it as uncharacterized. The record is from RefSeq and is a predicted model, not a curated record. NCBI's taxonomy places the organism in Eukaryota, Metazoa, Chordata, Actinopteri, Siluriformes, Bagridae. The transcript has 2 exons.